CCGCACCUGAGUUCACUCACAGGGAGUGGAGUGUGUGUGUAUAGGGGAUGUGUUAUUGUAGAGGAUGUAAUGUUUGUCUGUUCUUAUGGAAUGUAGUGUAUAGGGAUACCAAUUUGUGUAAGGGGUGUAGUGUGUGUAUAGGGGAUGCAGUGUGUGAGGAAUGCAUUGUGUGUUUCUGGAUGUGUGUGUAAGGGAUGCAAAGUGUGUUUCUGUGUAUGUAAUGUAAUGCAGUGUGUCUGUAAGGGGUGCAUUGAGUGUGUGUAAGAGAUGCAUUUUGUUUCUGUGUAAGAGAAGCAGUGUGUGUGCGUAAGGGAUGCACUGUGUGUUUCGGUGUGCGAGUAGGGAUGCAUUGUGUGUUUCUGCGUAUGUGUAAG
Molecule: non-coding RNA, 374 nt
Organism: Pelobates cultripes (western spadefoot toad)
Lineage: Eukaryota; Metazoa; Chordata; Amphibia; Anura; Pelobatidae
Source: the annotation of a GenBank genome assembly